This 31-nucleotide transfer RNA is filed under the name Martynia annua. RNAcentral's name for it is "partial tRNA-Gln". The record is from RNAcentral. Lineage: Eukaryota; Viridiplantae; Streptophyta; Magnoliopsida; Lamiales; Martyniaceae.
UCGCUAUCGGAGGUCGAUCCUUCCGUCCCAG